AGUAAUCAUGCUUGAAAAAUACAUUUGUUCAUAGAAACAUGGUAUUAAAUAGUGUAAGAUUCACAAUAAGACAUAGUUUCAAAUGUUUGUGAUAUGAAUCCUAACAAUAAUCAUAUUUUCUUGUGUAUUGUAGUUGUACUGUGUGAAUCAUAUGAAUCAUAAAACGAUUUCGUAUCACGACUUGGGUUUUUUUUCUGGAUUUAGGUGUGAACUGGGUCUGGUCACUUGAGUUAACCCUAAUUUUAAUCUUUUUACCCACAAACCUGCACCAUAGACGAAUGUCCUUCUCCUCUCCAACAACAACGAAGCUUGAACUUGAGGUGGAUGACCAGAAUGUGCGAAUGACGACGAAGGCAGCAACGACGAAAUAAUAUUAGAAUGGAAGCACACGUUGGAGCAACAUGAGGCACGGGACACUUCAGUUCACAAGUAAAAAUAGCGGGAGGUGCAGAAGUUACUCGAAGCGUUGUAGUCAUCGGAGACACCAGAGUUGUCAGAGACACCAGAGUUGUCGGAGACAAAAAAGAACUCUUUUUGUUGCAAAGGAAGAACAAUCAGCGAAGAAUUUUUUGUUGCUAUCUU
Molecule: long non-coding RNA, 582 nt
Filed under: Phaseolus vulgaris (common bean)
Lineage: Eukaryota; Viridiplantae; Streptophyta; Magnoliopsida; Fabales; Fabaceae
Description: long non-coding RNA (PVUL_LNC001244)
Source: RNAcentral